RNAcentral lists this long non-coding RNA (480 nucleotides) under Heterocephalus glaber (naked mole-rat). RNAcentral describes it as "lncRNA (ENSHGLG00000040601.1)". The record is from RNAcentral. Lineage: Eukaryota; Metazoa; Chordata; Mammalia; Rodentia; Bathyergidae.
GGCAGACCACCCAGGACUGACCGAGCCCAGCUCUGGCUGGCUGGCUACACCUACUCAGGACCAAGAGCUGCUACCUGGUUCCACACUACAGAGGCACAGGGGGACAUAAAGGCCAUUGUCCUGAGCUGCAGAAGUGAACAAGAGUGAGAGAGGGCCUCUCUCAGGCUCCCUGAUGAUAACUGAAGCCCCCUGGAAAAGUGAAGAGAAUCUCUGCAAUAAAGGCACACCAGACCACCAUACUUGAGCAUUGGAAGAAAAAUAUAAAACCCUAUGAGACCUACAAAGAAGAAAACCUGAACCUCAGAGAAAAUGAAAGGGCUGGGCUCUGUGAAGAUGCACAGAAGCAGAAGGCAUGAGCCACCCCUGGGAGGGGCUCCUGAUGUUUAAUCUGUGCAGGGGAAUCUCCUGGAGACAGGACACCUGAGGCCAGCGCACUUUGACAGUAUAAAUGACUCAUGUUUAGAUAUUGUUACAAUUCUG